This 72-nucleotide transfer RNA is filed under the name Bos taurus (domestic cattle). It matches the Rfam family "tRNA". From Rfam's summary of the family: Transfer RNA (tRNA) molecules are approximately 80 nucleotides in length. Their secondary structure includes four short double-helical elements and three loops (D, anti-codon, and T loops). Further hydrogen bonds mediate the characteristic L-shaped molecular structure. tRNAs have two regions of fundamental functional importance: the anti-codon, which is responsible for specific mRNA codon recognition, and the 3' end, to which the tRNAs corresponding amino acid is attached (by aminoacyl-tRNA synthetases). tRNAs cope with the degeneracy of the genetic code in two manners: having more than one tRNA (with a specific anti-codon) for a particular amino acid; and 'wobble' base-pairing, i.e. permitting non-standard base-pairing at the 3rd anti-codon position. The record is from Rfam by way of RNAcentral. Lineage: Eukaryota; Metazoa; Chordata; Mammalia; Artiodactyla; Bovidae. RNAcentral also lists the same sequence under 3 other names.
UCCCUCAUAGCUCAGUCGGUAAAGAAUCUGCCUGCCAUGCAGGAGACCUGGGUUCAAUUCCUAGGUCGGGAA